RNAcentral lists this ribosomal RNA (490 nucleotides) under uncultured bacterium. Its description in RNAcentral is "partial 16S ribosomal RNA". It matches the Rfam family "Bacterial small subunit ribosomal RNA", at positions 30 to 507 of the family's 1533-position model. The record is from RNAcentral.
AUUGAACGCUGGCGGCAGGCCUAACACAUGCAAGUCGAACGGUAACAGGAAGCAUCUUGCUGCUUUGCUGACGAGUGGCGGACGGGUGAGUAAUGUCUGGGAAACUGCCCGAUGGAGGGGGAUAACUACUGGAAACGGUAGCUAAUACCGCAUAACGUCGCAAGACCAAAGAGGGGGACCUUAGGGCCUCUUGCCAUCGGAUGUGCCCAGAUGGGAUUAGCUAGUAGGUGGGGUAACGGCUCACCUAGGCGACGAUCCCUAGCUGGUCUGAGAGGAUGACCAGCCACACUGGAACUGAGACACGGUCCAGACUCCUACGGGAGGCAGCAGUGGGGAAUAUUGCACAAUGGGCGCAAGCCUGAUGCAGCCAUGCCGCGUGUAUGAAGAAGGCCUUCGGGUUGUAAGGUACUUUCAGCGGGGAGGAAGGGAGUAAAGUUAAUACCUUUGCUCAUUGACGUUACCCGCAGAAGAAGCACCGGCUAACUCCGUG